Molecule: long non-coding RNA, 184 nt
Organism: Aethalodelphis obliquidens (Pacific white-sided dolphin)
Lineage: Eukaryota; Metazoa; Chordata; Mammalia; Artiodactyla; Delphinidae
Exons: 3
Source: RefSeq, a predicted model, not a curated record
UAUUUCCCCACAAAAGUAUUACUGUCAACAGAAAAAAAAAAAAAAAGCACAACAUGAGAGUUGUGAGUUAAGUUUUAUUUGGAGCAAAAUGAGGACUACAGCCCAAUAGAUGACAUCUCAGAUAGCUCUGAGGAACUUCUCCGAAGAGGUGGGGGGAUGGUCAGUGUUAUAUAUGGUUUUAGUG